RNAcentral lists this ribosomal RNA (274 nucleotides) under uncultured bacterium. RNAcentral's name for it is "partial 16S ribosomal RNA". It matches the Rfam family "Archaeal small subunit ribosomal RNA", at positions 473 to 747 of the family's 1478-position model. The record is from RNAcentral.
AAACCAGCACCUCAAGUGGUCAGGAUGAUUAUUGGGCCUAAAGCAUCCGUAGCCGGCUCUGUAAGUUUUCGGUUAAAUCUGUACGCUUAACGUACAGGCUGCUGGGAAUACUGCAGAGCUAGGGAGUGGGAGAGGUAGACGGUACUCGGGAGGAAGUGGUAAACUGCUUUGAUCUCUCGAUGACCACCUGUGGCGAAGGCGGUCUACCAGAACACGUCCGACGGUGAGGGAUGAAAGCUGGGGGAGCAAACCGGAUUAGAAACCCCUGUAGUCC